CAGUCGCCGCGGUAAUACGUAGGGUGCGAGCGUUAAUCGGAAUUACUGGGCGUAAAGCGUGCGCAGGCGGUUAUAUAAGUCAGAUGUGAAAUCCCCGGGCUCAACCUGGGAACUGCAUUUGAGACUGUAUGGCUAGAGUGUGUCAGAGGGGGGUAGAAUUCCACGUGUAGCAGUGAAAUGCGUAGAUAUGUGGAGGAAUACCGAUGGCGAAGGCAGCCCCCUGGGAUAACACUGACGCUCAUGCACGAAAGCGUGGGGAGCAAACAGGAUUAGAUACCCCCGUAGUCCCUGUCUCUUAUAC
Molecule: ribosomal RNA, 301 nt
Filed under: uncultured bacterium
Lineage: Bacteria
Description: partial 16S ribosomal RNA
Rfam family: Bacterial small subunit ribosomal RNA
Source: RNAcentral